UAAUACGAACCGUACGAACGUUAUUCGGAAUCACUGGGCUUAAAGAGUGCGUAGGCGGCCAAGCAAGUUGGGUGUGAAAUCCCUCGGCUCAACCGAGGAACUGCGCCCAAAACUGCUUGGCUUGAGAAAGAUAGAGGUGAGCGGAACUAAUGGUGGAGCGGUGAAAUGCGUUGAUAUCAUUGGGAACACCUGAGGCGAAAGCGGCUCACUGGGUCUUUUCUGACGCUGAGGCACGAAAGCUAGGGGAGCGAACGGGAUUAGAUACCCCGGUAGUCCUAGCUGUAAACGAUGAGCACUGGGUCGAGGAGGCCUUCACACCUUCUCGGCCGUAGCGAAAGUGUUAAGUGCUCCGCCUGGGGAGUAUGGUCGCAAGGCUG
This 377-nucleotide ribosomal RNA is filed under the name uncultured Planctomycetia bacterium. Its description in RNAcentral is "bacterial SSU rRNA". It matches the Rfam family "Bacterial small subunit ribosomal RNA", at positions 521 to 896 of the family's 1533-position model. The record is from RNAcentral. Lineage: Bacteria; Pseudomonadati; Planctomycetota; Planctomycetia.